RNAcentral lists this ribosomal RNA (922 nucleotides) under Edwardsiella tarda. RNAcentral's name for it is "bacterial SSU rRNA". The stretch from base 144 to 922 matches the Rfam family "Bacterial small subunit ribosomal RNA". Lineage: Bacteria; Pseudomonadati; Pseudomonadota; Gammaproteobacteria; Enterobacterales; Hafniaceae. The record is from RNAcentral.
GCGUGUUGAGGCAAGGGGAAGGAUUUACAUCACUGGUGCCAGAUGGCCGGAACCCUCACACGGAUAGGGGUCAAGUAUGGGUCGGGUAACCACGACGGUGUAUUGAUGGACCCGGCUACUGGACGAACCAGUGCAAUGAUUGUAAGGAUAAAUUCCGGACCGUGAAGUAAGAUUGAGAUCCGGGGGAACCGCUCCUGGCUAAAUGAGCUCAGUAGAAGGUGGGGACCAAAAGAUUAGAUACCUGGUAUCCCCCGUAACGAGUGAUUGGGGUGGCCCUGAGCGUGCUUCGAAGUAACGCGUUAAAUCGACGCCUGGGAUACGCCGCAAGGUUAAACUCAAAUGAUUGACGGGGCCCGCACAAGCGGUGGAGCAUGUGGUUUAAUUCGAUGCAACGCGAAGGACCUUACCUACUCUUGACAUCCAGCGAAUUCCUUUAGAGAUACGGGAGUGCCUUCGGGUACGCUGAGACAGGUGCUGCAUGGCUGUCGUCAGCUCGUGUUGUGAAAUGUUGGGUUGAGUCCCGCUACGAGCGCAACCCUUAUCCUUUGUUGCCAGCGGUUCGGCCGGGAACUCAAAGGAGGCUGCCAGUGAUAAACUGGAGGAAGGUGGGGAUGACGUCAAGUCAUCAUGGCCCUUACGAGUAGGGCUACACACGUGCUACAAUGGCGUAUACAAAGAGAAGCGACCUCGCGAGAGCAAGCGGACCUCAUAAAGUACGUCGUAGUCCGGAUUGGAGUCUGCAACUUGACUCCAUGAAGUCGGAAUCGCUAGUAAUCGUGGAUCAGGAUGCCACGGUGAAUACGUUCCCGGGCCUUGUACACACCGCCCGUCACACCAUGGGAGUGGGUUGCAAAAGAAGUAGGUAGCUUAACCUUCGGGAGGGCGCUUACCACUUUGUGAUUCAUGACUGGGGUGAAGUCGU